UUCGAAAGGUGGAUUUUUUAGUUUGCCCCUGAAGAAAAAAGUCCACCUUUCGAAAGCGCUCGGAUUAUAAGAAUUUGUUUCAUUUCUAUCAAGACUUCUUGAACCUACGUGUUAUUCUAACAUCAUGAACGAAUAAAGAUAGUUAUGAUAUU
Limulus polyphemus (Atlantic horseshoe crab) is the source of this 152-nucleotide long non-coding RNA. RefSeq lists it as uncharacterized. The transcript has 3 exons. NCBI's taxonomy places the organism in Eukaryota, Metazoa, Arthropoda, Merostomata, Xiphosura, Limulidae. The record is from RefSeq and is a predicted model, not a curated record.